RNAcentral lists this transfer RNA (71 nucleotides) under Loxodonta africana (African savanna elephant). It matches the Rfam family "tRNA". From Rfam's summary of the family: Transfer RNA (tRNA) molecules are approximately 80 nucleotides in length. Lineage: Eukaryota; Metazoa; Chordata; Mammalia; Proboscidea; Elephantidae. The record is from Rfam by way of RNAcentral.
GCAGUGGUGGUUCAGUGGUGGAAUUCUUCUCUUCCAUCCGGGAGACCUGGGUUCAAUUCCCAGCCAGUGUA